Molecule: transfer RNA, 74 nt
Filed under: Cheilodipterus isostigmus (dog-toothed cardinalfish)
Lineage: Eukaryota; Metazoa; Chordata; Actinopteri; Kurtiformes; Apogonidae
Also listed under: 1 other name
Description: tRNA-Leu
Rfam family: tRNA
About the family: Transfer RNA (tRNA) molecules are approximately 80 nucleotides in length. Their secondary structure includes four short double-helical elements and three loops (D, anti-codon, and T loops).
Source: RNAcentral
GUUGAGAUGGCAGAGUCCGGACAUUGCAAAAGAUCUAAGCCCUUUCCACAGAGGUUCAAGUCCUCUUCUCAACU